UACGGAGGGUGCGAGCGUUGUCCGGAAUCACUGGGCGUAAAGGGCGCGUAGGCGGCGCGGGAAGUCAUCGGUGAAAGUUCAGGGCUCAACUCUGAAUCGGCCGGUGAUACUCUCGUGCUCGAGCACUGUAGAGGCAGGUGGAAUUCCGGGUGUAGCGGUGGAAUGCGUAGAUAUCGGGAGGAACACCAGUGGCGAAGGCGGCGAUCUGGGAAGAUACUGACGCUGAGGUGCGAAAGCGUGGGGAGCAAACAGG
This 253-nucleotide ribosomal RNA is filed under the name uncultured bacterium. RNAcentral's name for it is "partial 16S ribosomal RNA". It matches the Rfam family "Bacterial small subunit ribosomal RNA", at positions 524 to 776 of the family's 1533-position model. The record is from RNAcentral.